AGAGUGAACGCUGGCGGUAGGCCUAACACAUGCAAGUCGAACGGCAGCACAGUGGUAGCAAUACCAUGGGUGGCGAGUGGCGGACGGGUGAGGAAUACAUCGGAAUCUACCUUUUCGUGGGGGAUAACGUAGGGAAACUUACGCUAAUACCGCAUACGCCCUUCGGGGGAAAGCCGGGGAUCGCAAGACCUGGCGCGGAUAGAUGAGCCGAUGUCGGAUUAGCUAGUUGGUGAGGUAAUGGCUCACCAAGGCGACGAUCCGUAGCUGGUCUGAGAGGAUGAUCAGCCACACUGGAACUGAGACACGGUCCAGACUCCUACGGGAGGCAGCAGUGGGAAUAUUGGACAAUGGGCGCAAGCCUGAUCCAGCCAUACCGCGUGGGUGAAGAAGGCCUUCGGUUGUAAAGCCCUUUUGGUAGGUAAAGAAAAGCAAUCGGUUAAUACCCGGUUGUUCUGACGGUACCCAAAGAAUAAGCAACCGGCUAACUUCGUCGACCAGCAGCCGCGGUAAU
RNAcentral lists this ribosomal RNA (511 nucleotides) under uncultured soil bacterium. Its description in RNAcentral is "bacterial SSU rRNA". It matches the Rfam family "Bacterial small subunit ribosomal RNA", at positions 26 to 524 of the family's 1533-position model. The record is from RNAcentral.